Molecule: ribosomal RNA, 465 nt
Filed under: uncultured bacterium
Lineage: Bacteria
Description: partial 16S ribosomal RNA
Rfam family: Bacterial small subunit ribosomal RNA
Source: RNAcentral
GACGAACGCUGGCGGCGUGCUUAACACAUGCAAGUCGAACGGAAAGGCCCCAGCUUGCUGGGGUACUCGAGUGGCGAACGGGUGAGUAACACGUGGGUGAUCUGCCCUGCACUCUGGGAUAAGCCUGGGAAACUGGGUCUAAUACCGGAUAGGACCGUGCUUUAGUGUGUGCGGUGGAAAGUUUUUCGGUGCAGGAUGAGCCCGCGGCCUAUCAGCUUGUUGGUGGGGUAAUGGCCUACCAAGGCGGCGACGGGUAGCCGGCCUGAGAGGGUGUACGGCCACAUUGGGACUGAGACACGGCCCAGACUCCUACGGGAGGCAGCAGUGGGGAAUAUUGCACAAUGGGCGCAAGCCUAAUGCAGCGACGCCGCGUGGGGGAUGACGGCCUUCGGGUUGUAAACCCCUUUCGGCAGGGACGAAGCUUUUGUGACGGUACCUGCAUGAGAAGCACCGGCUAGCUACGUG